CGGGACACGUGGUAUCCUGUCUGAAUAUGGGGGGACCAUCCUCCAAGGCUAAAUACUCCUGACUGACCGAUAGUGAACCAGUACCGUGAGGGAAAGGCGAAAAGAACCCCGGCGAGGGGAGUGAAAAAGAACCUGAAACCGUGUACGUACAAGCAGUGGGAGCCUCUUAAUGGGGUGACUGCGUACCUUUUGUAUAAUGGGUCAGCGACUUAUAUUCUGUAGCAAGGUUAACCGAAUAGGGGAGCCGAAGGGAAACCGAGUCUUAACUGGGCGUUAAGUUGCAGGGUAUAGACCCGAAACCCGGUGAUCUAGCCAUGGGCAGGUUGAAGGUUGGGUAACACUAACUGGAGGACCGAACCGACUAAUGUUGAAAAAUUAGCGGAUGACUUGUGGCUGGGGGUGAAAGGCCAAUCAAACCGGGAGAUAGCUGGUUCUCCCCGAAAGCUAUUUAGGUAGCGCCUCGUGAAUUCAUCUCCGGGGGUAGAGCACUGUUUCGGCAAGGGGGUCAUCCCGACUUACCAACCCGAUGCAAACUGCGAAUACCGGAGAAUGUUAUCACGGGAGACACACGGCGGGUGCUAACGUCCGUCGUGAAGAGGGAAACAACCCAGACCGCCAGCUAAGGUCCCAAAGUCAUGGUUAAGUGGGAAACGAUGUGGGAAGGCCCAGACAGCCAGGAUGUUGGCUUAGAAGCAGCCAUCAUUUAAAGAAAGCGUAAUAGCUCACUGGUCGAGUCGGCCUGCGCGGAAGAUGUAACGGGGCUAAACCAUGCACCGAAGCUGCGGCAGCGACGUUUAUGCGUUGUUGGGUAGGGGAGCGUUCUGUAAGCCUGUGAAGGUGUGCUGUGAGGCAUGCUGGAGGUAUCAGAAGUGCGAAUGCUGACAUAAGUAACGAUAAAGCGGGUG
Molecule: ribosomal RNA, 905 nt
Filed under: Escherichia coli
Lineage: Bacteria; Pseudomonadati; Pseudomonadota; Gammaproteobacteria; Enterobacterales; Enterobacteriaceae
Description: partial 23S ribosomal RNA
Rfam family: Bacterial large subunit ribosomal RNA
Source: RNAcentral